This 66-nucleotide transfer RNA is filed under the name Trachys auricollis. RNAcentral describes it as "tRNA-Leu". The record is from RNAcentral. Lineage: Eukaryota; Metazoa; Arthropoda; Insecta; Coleoptera; Buprestidae.
GUUAUUUUGGCAGAUUAGUGCGUUAGAUUUAGAAUCUUUUUAAGUAAGUUUUCUUACAUAUAAUAC